Molecule: ribosomal RNA, 116 nt
Filed under: Danio rerio (zebrafish)
Lineage: Eukaryota; Metazoa; Chordata; Actinopteri; Cypriniformes; Danionidae
Source: RNAcentral
GUCGGCAGUUAGCUCUCUGCAACUCUCACAUGGCCACCCACUGAAGCUAAGCAGGGCUGCGCCCUGUCAGUACCUGGAUGGGAGACCACAUGGGAAAGCAAUGGUUGCUGCCGGAA